GAUCAUGGCUCAGGACGAACGCUGGCGGCGUGCCUAACACAUGCAAGUCGAACGGACGAGAGGAGCUUGCUCCUCAAGUUAGUGGCGGACGGGUGAGUAACACGUGAGCAACCUGCCCUUCGGAGGGGGACAACAGCUGGAAACGGCUGCUAAUACCGCAUGACACAGCGGGGAGGCAUCUCCCUGCUGUCAAAGAUUUUAUCGCCGAAGGAUGGGCUCGCGUCUGAUUAGAUAGUUGGUGAGGUAACGGCCCACCAAGUCAACGAUCAGUAGCCGGACUGAGAGGUUGAACGGCCACAUUGGGACUGAGAUACGGCCCAGACUCCUACGGGAGGCAGCAGUGGGGAAUAUUGGGCAAUGGGGGGCAACCCUGACCCAGCAACGCCGCGUGAAGGAAGAAGGCUUUCGGGUUGUAAACUUCUUUGACGAGGGACGAUAGUGACGGUACCUCGAAAACAAGCCACGGCUAACUACGUGCCAGCAGCGGC
This 488-nucleotide ribosomal RNA is filed under the name uncultured bacterium. RNAcentral's name for it is "bacterial SSU rRNA". It matches the Rfam family "Bacterial small subunit ribosomal RNA", at positions 15 to 518 of the family's 1533-position model. The record is from RNAcentral.